Molecule: ribosomal RNA, 449 nt
Filed under: uncultured bacterium
Lineage: Bacteria
Description: partial 16S ribosomal RNA
Rfam family: Bacterial small subunit ribosomal RNA
Source: RNAcentral
AACGAACGCUGGCGGCAGGCCUAACACAUGCAAGUCGAACGCCCUAGCAAUAGGGAGUGGCAGACGGGUGAGUAACACGUGGGAACCUUCCCUAUAGUACGGAAUAGCCCAGGGAAACUUGGAGUAAUACCGUAUACGCCCGUGAGGGGAAAGAUUUAUCGCUAUAGGAUGGGCCCGCGUAGGAUUAGCUAGUUGGUGAGGUAAUGGCUCACCAAGGCGACGAUCCUUAGCUGGUCUGAGAGGACGACCAGCCACACUGGGACUGAGACACGGCCCAGACUCCUACGGGAGGCAGCAGUGGGGAAUAUUGGACAAUGGGCGCAAGCCUGAUCCAGCCAUGCCGCGUGAGUGAUGAAGGCCUUAGGGUUGUAAAGCUCUUUUGUCGGGGACGAUAAUGACGGUACCCGAAGAAUAAGUCCCGGCUAACUUCGUGCCAGCAGCAGCCGCGG